Molecule: ribosomal RNA, 517 nt
Filed under: uncultured bacterium
Lineage: Bacteria
Description: bacterial SSU rRNA
Rfam family: Bacterial small subunit ribosomal RNA
Source: RNAcentral
AAGCGCUGCGGCAGGCCUAACACAUGCCAAGUCGGGCGGUAACAGGGAUAGCUUGCUAUCUUGCUGACGAGCGGCGGACGGGUGAGUAAUGCAUAGGAAUCUGCCUGGUAGUGGGGGAUAGCCCAGAGAAAUUUGGAUUAAUACCGCAUACGCCCUACGGGGGAAAGCAGGGGACCCAUUCUUUUAGGAGAGUGGACCUUGCGCUAUCAGAUGAGCCUAUGUCGGAUUAGCUUGUUGGUGAGGUAACGGCUCACCAAGGCGACGAUCCGUAGCUGGUCUGAGAGGAUGAUCAGCCACACUGGGACUGAGACACGGCCCAGACUCCUACGGGAGGCAGCAGUGGGGAAUAUUGGACAAUGGGCGCAAGCCUGAUCCAGCCAUGCCGCGUGUGUGAAGAAGGCCUUCGGGUUGUAAAGCACUUUCAGCGAGGAGGAAAGGGGUGUUGCUAAUAUCAACGCCCUGUGACGUUACUCGCANAAGAAGCACCGGCUAACUCCGUGCCAGCAGCCGCGGUAAU